CAGAGAAAUUGCCCUUUGGGGUAGAUCUCCCACCCUUUGUUUACAUUACCUUUGUUGCUUUGGCAGGCCCGUCUUUUGACCACCGGCUUAGGCUGGUCCGCGCCUGCCAGAGGACCUCUAAACUCAUGAUUUUGUGUCGUCCGAGUCAUAUAAAAUAAGUCA
Molecule: unclassified non-coding RNA, 162 nt
Filed under: uncultured fungus
Lineage: Eukaryota; Fungi
Description: sequence contains ITS1, 5.8S rRNA gene
Source: RNAcentral